GACGAACGCUGGCGGCGUGCCUAAUACAUGCAAGUCGAACGAACUCUGGUAUUGAUUGGUGCUUGCAUCAUGAUUUACAUUUGAGUGAGUGGCGAACUGGUGAGUAACACGUGGGAAACCUGCCCAGAAGCGGGGGAUAACACCUGGAAACAGAUGCUAAUACCGCAUAACAACUUGGACCGCAUGGUCCGAGCUUGAAAGAUGGCUUCGGCUAUCACUUUUGGAUGGUCCCGCGGCGUAUUAGCUAGAUGGUGGGGUAACGGCUCACCAUGGCAAUGAUACGUAGCCGACCUGAGAGGGUAAUCGGCCACAUUGGGACUGAGACACGGCCCAAACUCCUACGGGAGGCAGCAGUAGGGAAUCUUCCACAAUGGACGAAAGUCUGAUGGAGCAACGCCGCGUGAGUGAAGAAGGGUUUCGGCUCGUAAAACUCUGUUGUUAAAGAAGAACAUAUCUGAGAGUAACUGUUCAGGUAUUGACGGUAUUUAACCAGAAAGCCACGGCUAACUACGUGCCAGCAGCCGCGGUAAUACGUAGGUGGCAAGCGUUGUCCGGAUUUAUUGGGCGUAAAGCGAGCGCAGGCGGUUUUUUAAGUCUGAUGUGAAAGCCUUCGGCUCAACCGAAGAAGUGCAUCGGAAACUGGGAAACUUGAGUGCAGAAGAGGACAGUGGAACUCCAUGUGUAGCGGUGAAAUGCGUAGAUAUAUGGAAGAACACCAGUGGCGAAGGCGGCUGUCUGGUCUGUAACUGACGCUGAGGCUCGAAAGUAUGGGUAGCAAACAGGAUUAGAUACCCUGGUAGUCCAUACCGUAAACGAUGAAUGCUAAGUGUUGGAGGGUUUCCGCCCUUCAGUGCUGCAGCUAACGCAUUAAGCAUUCCGCCUGGGGAGUACGGCCGCAAGGCUGAAACUCAAAGGAAUUGACGGGGGCCCGCACAAGCGGUGGAGCAUGUGGUUUAAUUCGAAGCUACGCGAAGAACCUUACCAGGUCUUGACAUACUAUGCAAAUCUAAGAGAUUAGACGUUCCCUUCGGGGACAUGGAUACAGGUGGUGCGUGGUUGUCGUCAGCUCGUGUCGUGAGAUGUUGGGUUAAGUCCCGCAACGAGCGCAACCCUUAUUAUCAGUUGCCAGCAUUAAGUUGGGCACUCUGGUGAGACUGCCGGUGACAAACCGGAGGAAGGUGGGGAUGACGUCAAAUCAUCAUGCCCCUUAUGACCUGGGCUACACACGUGCUACAAUGGAUGGUACAACGAGUUGCGAACUCGCGAGAGUAAGCUAAUCUCUUAAAGCCAUUCUCAGUUCGGAUUGUAGGCUGCAACUCGCCUACAUGAAGUCGGAAUCGCUAGUAAUCGCGGAUCAGCAUGCCGCGGUGAAUACGUUCCCGGGUCUUGUACACACCGCCCGUCGCACCAUGAGAGUUUGUAACACCCAAAGUCGGUGGGGUAACCUUUUAGGAACCAGCCGCCUAAGGUGGGACAGAUGAUUAGGGUG
RNAcentral lists this ribosomal RNA (1489 nucleotides) under Lactiplantibacillus plantarum. RNAcentral's name for it is "bacterial SSU rRNA". It matches the Rfam family "Bacterial small subunit ribosomal RNA". Lineage: Bacteria; Bacillati; Bacillota; Bacilli; Lactobacillales; Lactobacillaceae. The record is from RNAcentral.